UAGUCGCUGGAAAAUCGCCAGUAGUAAACUUUUGAUAUCGCUUUACAUCUAAUCUCGCUGUUACGGAUCCAUUUCAAUUAAUAAAUAAAAAGUCUCGUACGAAAUCCACGCAUAAUGAGAUAUACAUUUCUUCUCGCAAUUCUGAUUAUAUGGGUGACGCUAAUCACAGCCGGUCGAAGGCGGCAUAGGCCUGACGAUGAAAGCCAAGUGCAAACGCGUCCCAGACCGCCAAUACCGCAUCGUCCUCACCGUCCUCGUCAGAAACGAGAAACAAGAAUGGACCCAUUCUUUGCUUCUGAACAUUUAGACAACCAAUUUACUUACAUUAGUCAAUUUCAUAAUUUCUAACAUUUCAUUAAAAAUAAAGUAUAAUAUCAAUAAUAUUACUUCGAAAAACAAACACAAUUUAUCAUAAAGUCGCAAUUAUAUUCAAAUGUUAGAAAAAAAAAAUUAUAUGAGUAACUUCGUAAAAUUAUUCAAUAACGUAUUAGGAUACCAGUUAGAAAAUACAAAAUAUAAGAAGAAUAUGUGUUUUGAAGGAGCCUCAAACGGUGACGGCUACAUGUCUCGUGAAAAUUUCAGCAAAGCCCAAUGGUCAAAAAAAACCUCAACCUGUACAAAAACCCGUUGAACAAGAAAUGCCUGUUUCACAAGUGAUUUCAUCCUCACCGAAAAAGAAAAAGUUAACGUCGCAGAAUUCAAAGUUUCUUCAGAGAAUUUCCCUCACAGGACCGUAAAUUGAACGUUUUGAAUACACUGUAAAUAAAUUUUAUGUAUAACGUAGCGUAAUAUUUUACUAUUUAUAGUAGAUUUGUGUGUAUGCAAUGAGCGAUAUUUAUGUGAUCUCAAUAUUACUUUUACAAAACAUGUGAAAAUUGCAUAUGAAUCAUGUGCAUAUUGUAAUAAACAAUACUAUCUUUCUUUUUUUGAUAAA
This is an RNA transcript of Nasonia vitripennis (jewel wasp), 934 nucleotides long. RefSeq lists it as uncharacterized. NCBI's taxonomy places the organism in Eukaryota, Metazoa, Arthropoda, Insecta, Hymenoptera, Pteromalidae. The transcript has 4 exons. The record is from RefSeq and is a predicted model, not a curated record.